ACGAUAAGAUCAAUCCUGACCCUAUUUCAAGUUCAAGCUUGAAGACAUUUGUGAGGAAUCCCCAUUUUUCAUGGCGGCGCGGCAUGAGACGAUAGAGAAUAACUAUUUGUACCUUAACAAGUAUCUCGCACUUAACCAAAACUUUUUGCAUUGAUCAGUUAAAAAUUGAAAUUUCGCAUAUCACUGUUCAACUCCCGCCAAACGCCAAUGAAAGAGCACCAAACACCACACAAAGUGUUCGCGCGCUCCACAGAGAAUCGCCAUGGCAGAUUCAAGGAUUUUCCGUCUAAGAAGUCGAACAAGGCACAGUACAAUUCAUCAGCGUUAAUUUCUCACACUUUUUGUUUUGCUUUUUUAUUUUUUUCCAUUUUUAGAUUCAUUUUUUCGUGUUCCUUUCCUUCUCUGUCGCCAGAUCACAGGUAAUAACUUGAAUGCUGCAUUUGCAUCCGUUUCUGAAGAUUCCGUGGAUUUAUCACCGAUCUCAGAGAUCUCGUAUGCAAAUCACGGCGAAGAUGUCACGUUUCAGACCUUCUUGUUGGAAGAACCUUCCUCGGUGACUUUGGUUCCAUCUGAUUUAACUCCUAAAGAAAUCACUGACGCGACGGGAAUUAUUAGCUCCACUAAUUCUAUCAGCACCGAUAAAUUUGAUAGUUCUAAGUUUAACUCUGUGGAAGCAGAGAUUACUGUGAAUUUUCUCAGAAAUGUGAAAACUGAUGUCCUCAACGCUGCUCCCCAAUGUAGAAGAGAGCUUAUGGAUGGAAUAAUUGAGUAUGUUAUAAGCGAUCUCCAAACCUAUACCCUGCCAGAGGAGAGAGAUCAGUUUGCUCAUUUGCUUUCGAUGAAAAAUCGAAUGUUGUUUCUGUGUACCUUCAUUUGGGUAAUUGGAGUAUCAGUUCUGCUUUUCUUCACUUCGUAUACUCGUGGCCCUUACAGAGGACCGACGCCAACCUGAACGAUUCCACUAAGGUUUAUAUGCUUUUUAACCAUGGGAGAAGAGGUAACAUCUUCAGUUAUGUAGCUUGUAAAUAUAUCUCUUUAACUGAAAAUUCUUGGAAAUCAUGAAACUGGUAUAACUGGUUCUUAGUCUGACACUUGACUUGAGCUACUUAAAAAUUAGAAUUGCCCUGAA
Molecule: long non-coding RNA, 1129 nt
Organism: Glycine soja
Lineage: Eukaryota; Viridiplantae; Streptophyta; Magnoliopsida; Fabales; Fabaceae
Exons: 3
Source: RefSeq, a predicted model, not a curated record